AAGUUGCCAAGUUUGGGGACCUCGGUUAAAAGUAUGUAAGUUGUCAUAAAGGAUGAUUGUCGGUCACUAUUCAUCUUGCCUGUUGAGUCUCUCAGAAGUUUUAGUUCCUAAGAUAUUUUGUAACAAUCACAGUGCAUACACAGAGGGGCUGUAUGCAUAAUCACUAAAGAAACACCAAACUCAUUAGGUCUGCAUAAUCUAAAAUGAGGUUUCAUUUCAGAGGCACUAGAAUAAUUUUUCUAAAUACACUGUUAAAAUAUCCUUGAAUAUAUAUGUUUCUUGCUAAAAUAUUAGAGCAAGGGACUAUUAAAGCAGGUUCCUUGCAGAAAUCAUUGUCCUUCAAUCAGUAAUGUAAUUAUACAAUAUUAAAAGGAAAAAAUAAUGCACAUUUCCUCUGUAUAGUUCAUAGCACUGACAUUCAGCUGUUUCUGCAGAUUCUUGUAAAAAAAAGUUAUGUCUAUAUGAACUGGGGGGUGGGGGGGGAUAGCUAAGUUAAUUUACUUUUGUUGUGUUUAUAAAAACACCAUUUUGUGACAAAAGUGGGCUUCUGACCAGGUCUCUUGUUUUUUGAGUCCCAAAUCUUAACUUGAAAAACAACUACAUGUUGAUCCAUUGCUGAUUUUGUGGUAUCAAUUUAUGCCACAAAAUAAAUUUGGUGCAGGUAUGUUACAGAAAAUGUUAAAAUAAUGCAAAUACUGAAACGAUGCACAUAAUGAAACUGGAAGACUUUAUACCAAUUAUAAAUAUUGAAGUAUUUUAGUAUAAUAACCCCCAUCCCAUGGGCCAACAUGACAGCAUGAAUAAAGUCAGAUAUCUGAAGAGUGAUAGCAUGUGUAUAUUGAUAACAUGUCUUAACUCCUAACUCCAUUAUACCUGGUGAAAGUAGUUGGUGGGACUUGUUACAAGAAUUUAAUAUGCCCAUCCAGAAGGGAAACUUCCGGGUUUCAAAUAAUUUUAAGCUUCAGUUAUAGUAAAUUGUGCAUGGGUCCAUAACAUUCUAAGAUUGUUAUGUUGAGGUGGAAGUGGCUACAGCUGAAUCUUCCAUGUUCUAUAUUAAGACCCAAUGUAGAGACAACUUCUUGCAGGAAGUCCUUGACUUAGGAGCAGAAUUUCCAUCACUAAGCAAGAUGGCUGUUAAAUGAGUUGCACCCAAUACUACCACCUUUUUUGCCAGGGUUAAAUGAUUGUAGUUUUAAGUGAAUUUUUUGGUUGUUAAAUCUGGCUACUCCCCUGACAGCUUAUCAGAAGCUAGUUGGGAAGGUUGCAAAUGGCAAUCCCGUAACCCUCAGACGCUACCAUCAUAAAUGCUAGUUGCCAAGCACCAGAAUUUUCAUCGUGAUGGGAUACUGCCUUGGUUGUAAGUGCGAGGAGUUGUCUCCAGUCACAUUUUCAGUGCCAUUUUAAUUUUGAAUGGUCACUAAGUGAGUGGUUGUAAGUCGAGAGCUGUCUAGUUCUAAAGUGAACUUGCUGAUCUUUUUGAUUUUUGUCUUGAGCGCGUAGAGUUGCCUUGGACUGUGAGCUGGGCAGCAAAUAAAUUUGAUAAUGAUCCUGUCCUUGGAACCUGGGCGAACAUAGUGUAAUGUUUAAUAUAAAUUAUCCCCAGGAUAAUGAGAAUUCACCUGGAAGGCUCCCUUAUCAAAAUACUAUCACCCAAUGAAUACUGAAUUAGAAUUGUAACCUGGCUUUAUUUGGCAGGUGGAGGGGGCACCUCUGGAUCCUGGAAGAAAGUUUACCUCAAGGCUGGAGUUGAAAACAGACUUUCUCUUUGGAAUGAGCCAGCAGGUGUCAAGUGCGGGAAAUCAGGAUUCCGGGCAGUUCAAAAGAAUAUGUAGGCUUAUUGCAUGCUAAAGCUCUUUACAAGAGCUCUGAAUUAACAGUCAAAGCGAAUUGGCAGUAGAUAAGAGUCAACGGAAUUCAAGGUGGGCUGGACUUAAAUCUUGUGGGCGUGAAGGGACUCGAGACUGAUGGCAUGUUUGGCCCCUCGAGCUCAGCCUGGUCAUCUACAGUGGAAGAUCCCAAGAGGAGCUACUGUCACAAGAACCUUUUAAGGAUUAUAUCCUCAUAGUGUCCAAAUUACAAGGCAGAAGACCAAGAGCUGCAUUCAAUUGGCCAGAGUACCAUGAAAUAGAAUAAUGGUCCUAAAUCAUAGAAUACAGAUUACAAUUGAAUGUUGGGGGCUGAUGAGCAGGGUGGGAAAAGAGAGGGAUAGGAACAAUUUAAUGAAUCCAGGUAAUGAUUCCUCUUCACUGGAUCCUGGCAAGCAGUAAUGAGACUCCUUUCUGGCAUGCUUUAAUGUAUUCUCAGUCUGAAAGGUUGUAUUUAAAAGCCUAAGUAGUCCCUUUCAGCAUGACUAUUCUAUGAAUUCUAGGACAAAGACUGGCAUAAUAUUACUAAUGUAUAGUAAUAGUUGGGCUCAGUGUUUCUCAGGCAAGAAAAUACUUCGUUUUAUAUCAAAAUUUGGUUUUUUAUCACAUAAAUAGUGGCAAAGCAAGAUUGAGCAUUGUAUUAAGAAAGGUGGCUUCGUUUUAAACUUCUGAGAUGGGAAGCAGAAUGUGUGUGUGUGUGUGUGGAUUUUUUAGUGCCCUCAAAAUAAAUUUUGAGCAUUUGGACCAGAUCAUAAAAGUGUUGCAAGGAUAUAUAUUUUAAAAUAAAUUUAUUCUAGAAGUCA
Non-coding RNA from Notechis scutatus (mainland tiger snake), 2668 nucleotides. The record is from RefSeq and is a predicted model, not a curated record. Lineage: Eukaryota; Metazoa; Chordata; Lepidosauria; Squamata; Elapidae.